ACACCCUCACACACACACACACACACACACACACACACACACACACACAAGAUAUCAUUUUUUUCUGUGGAAAGAAUAAUCUUUUAUGUUCUUAAAAAAUUUCGGUUUAUUCAUGAAAGUCAAUCAAAAGUCAAUCAAUAUCCAUAAAACAAUACAAAUCAGAAGCAGAGCAAACACGGACCUCUAAACAUCAGAGAUUGGAUCAGGUGAAAGGAAGAUGGUACAAAAUCCCAUUAUGCCUUUGGUAGUGAUAUUCAUCAAUGUCCUCGGGUCAUCCCUACGGAUGGGAAUGUUAAGGCUUUCUGUAUAAGGGUACAAAGACCUAAGACAUGUGUAUAAGGUCACCCGGAAUACUUUAAGGGAUUGGAAUUAAUUAGAAUAUACCUUAUUUUCUUACCUUUAGAUGACACACUUUUUAUAGAAUUACCCUCGUCAUUGAAGUUUUUGCAUUUUAAUAAAGAAAAUGCUUCAUAUUUAUAUUUCGUAUGUUGGUAUUACAUUGUUGUUUUUUUCUUUUGGGAAACAUAGUUUAAUUAAUAAUUUUUUUCAUUUCAUGUUGAAACAGGGAAGGCCAAACUGCCCAUCAGGAUAUCAUUGUAAUCAUUUUGCUGGUGUGUGUGAACGGAACCCAGUGGAAGAUAACGGAUAUUGUACAAGCGCUGCUGACUGUCCUCGAGGACACAUUUGUGUGUUUGGUACUUGUAUAAGAU
Molecule: long non-coding RNA, 710 nt
Organism: Saccostrea cuccullata (small rock oyster)
Lineage: Eukaryota; Metazoa; Mollusca; Bivalvia; Ostreida; Ostreidae
Exons: 3
Source: RefSeq, a predicted model, not a curated record